UGGGGGAUAUGGCUGUUUCUCUUGGCUUCUGACUCCAUUGUCCCGUCCUGAUUCCCCUGCUGAACACAAUUACAAUCAUGCACAUAAGGGCACUCGGAAUGUGAUAGAAAGAUGUUUUGGAGUACUGAAAUCUAGGUUUCGGUGUCUUGAUAAGUCUGGUGGCCUUUUGUUGUAUAGUCCCUUAAAGGUGACUAGGAUUGUGUUCUGCUGCCAUUUUCUUCAUAACAUGUGUUUGCAACAACAUCUGCCACAUGUUGAUGAGGAGAAGGAGGAGGAUGAAGAAAACAGACAGCAAGUAGACGAGUUAGAGUCAUCUGGCAACACUUGGAGUACAGAUAUAGGGAGGCAGGUAAGAAUGAACAUCAACAACUGAUGGCGACUUUUUGGGGGGCACUUUCGAUGCUGAUGUGCCUUUCCCUGUGACGUUUGUCCGUGUCCAGCUGGAUCGCCUUGGUGGGGAGGCAGCUGAGGGGCUUGAGGUUCCCGCGUUGGCCGACUCUCCAAAAGUUGUAAUGGUGGCCUUGAGGACACAUUUAAUAUACGUUGUUGAAGUGGUGACUCGUGUUGUCUAGUGUGGACAUCCGGACGGGGUCUCUUGUGGGCCAUGUGUUUUUGCGUGGACGCCUCCUUCUGUGAAUGUGCUGUUGUGUGGAUGUUCCUAUACAAAAUAAAACAUUAAUGUUUUGCCAAAACAUUUGCACACAUAAUAUGUCUAUAAAUUGUUGCUUUACCUGCUUCACCAUCAUCAUCAUCUAGGGCUUGAGUGGUGGGAGAGCAGCCUGUUGCUAUUUUUUUGGACACUGUGAAGAUAUGACAAUUAAGUUUGUUUUUCUAAUACUGUGUUAAUAAAAUGUA
Long non-coding RNA from Pseudophryne corroboree (corroboree frog), 855 nucleotides. RefSeq lists it as uncharacterized. NCBI's taxonomy places the organism in Eukaryota, Metazoa, Chordata, Amphibia, Anura, Myobatrachidae. The transcript is spliced from 3 exons. The record is from RefSeq and is a predicted model, not a curated record.